GGAGAGGUGGCUGAGUGGUCGAAAGCGCUCCCCUGCUAAGGGAGUAUAUCCCUUAACGGGAUAUCGAGGGUUCGAAUCCCUCCCUCUCCG
This 90-nucleotide transfer RNA is filed under the name Fodinibius salinus. RNAcentral describes it as "Bacteroidetes bacterium YIM D17 tRNA". It matches the Rfam family "tRNA". Rfam says of the family: Transfer RNA (tRNA) molecules are approximately 80 nucleotides in length. Their secondary structure includes four short double-helical elements and three loops (D, anti-codon, and T loops). The record is from Rfam by way of RNAcentral. Lineage: Bacteria; Pseudomonadati; Balneolota; Balneolia; Balneolales; Balneolaceae.